CAGGUGAGGUAAUUACUGUAUACUGACCAGUCCAGGUGAGGUAAUUACUGUAUACUGACCAGUCCAGGACUGUAGUAACCAGGUGAGGUAAUUACUGUAUACUGACCAGUCCAGGACUGUAGUAACCAGGUGAGGUAAUUACUGUAUACUGACCAGUCCAGGACUGUAGUAACCAGGUGAGGUAAUUACUGUAUACUGACCAGUCCAGGACUGUGGUAACCAGGUGAGGUAAUUACUGUAUACUGACCAGUCCA
Molecule: long non-coding RNA, 254 nt
Organism: Pecten maximus
Lineage: Eukaryota; Metazoa; Mollusca; Bivalvia; Pectinida; Pectinidae
Exons: 3
Source: RefSeq, a predicted model, not a curated record